This 277-nucleotide long non-coding RNA is filed under the name Apteryx owenii (little spotted kiwi). RNAcentral's name for it is "lncRNA (ENSAOWG00000014900.1)". The record is from RNAcentral. Lineage: Eukaryota; Metazoa; Chordata; Aves; Apterygiformes; Apterygidae.
AUGAUGCAAGGCUGGGAAUGAAUGAGUGGCCAGACACGGGAACAGACUUCACAGCAUGCUUGCUCCCAACGUUGACAGAGCCUCCUGACAGCAGCUCCUGAAUCUGCAAAGUGCAAGAAAAACAUCUCUUCUGGACAUCUGCAAGAGAGUGAGGAAGAACUUCAUUCCCUCCUCUGAGCACUGUGCCAAGUAUGGAAGCUCCAUAGAGGAGGAGGAUUCAGCUGCUUCUGCCAGGAGACACUUCUCAGACCAGCCCACACCGCAGAGAAGGGAUUAA